Molecule: ribosomal RNA, 460 nt
Filed under: uncultured bacterium
Lineage: Bacteria
Description: partial 16S ribosomal RNA
Rfam family: Bacterial small subunit ribosomal RNA
Source: RNAcentral
CCUACGGGAGGCAGCAGUGAGGAAUAUUGGUCAAUGGACGAGAGUCUGAACCAGCCAAGUCGCGUGAAGGAUGACUGCCCUAUGGGUUGUAAACUUCUUUUAUAUGGGAAUAAAAUGUUCCACGUGUGGCAGUCUGUAUGUACCAUAUGAAUAAGGAUCGGCUAACUCCGUGCCAGCAGCCGCGGUAAUACGGAGGAUCCGAGCGUUAUCCGGAUUUAUUGGGUUUAAAGGGUGCGUAGGUGGAUGGUUAAGUCAGUUGUGAAAGUUUGCGGCUCAACCGUAGAAUUGCCGUUGAAACUGGCAGUCUUGAGUACAGUAGAGGUGGGCGGAAUGCGUGGUGUAGCGGUGAAAUGCUUAGAUAUCACGAAGAACACCGAUUGCGAAGGCAGUUCACUGGACUGCAACUGACACUGAGGCACGAAAGUGUGGGUAUCAAACAGGAUUAGAUACCCGUGUAGUC